Silurus meridionalis is the source of this 466-nucleotide long non-coding RNA. RefSeq lists it as uncharacterized. The transcript has 3 exons. NCBI's taxonomy places the organism in Eukaryota, Metazoa, Chordata, Actinopteri, Siluriformes, Siluridae. The record is from RefSeq and is a predicted model, not a curated record.
ACACACAUCAUUUUCCCAGGACCCAGAGUCUCCGAAGCCACUGGUGCCAUGCAGGCGUUGUGAAACAUCCACCAUGGCUGUUCCGUUUCCGAAGAAAUGCGACUGCAUGCUGCAAACUAAGGACAAAAAUCUUCUGUUUGCAUUAAGUGGUUUUCUCUGGGAGAGAAACAGUCAGAGAGGCCACAACAGUGCGGCAAGUGGAGAAGAGCCAAAAACCAGGGGGUGGAGAGAGAAUGAGAGAAAGAUGGACAGAAAAGGACACAGAGAAUGAAGGAGCUGAAAGAAGGCAAGAGAAGGAAAAUAUUAAAUCCCUGCAAUCUGAACACUUUCACUGUAUGAAGUUGCAUCGUUUAUCAAAGUUCCUUCUUCAUCUCCUUCACUUUGUUCUUUUUUUCCCUCCACAUGUUGUUUAUCAGUGUAUCCCAUUUUUUUUGCAUUUGAAAGGUGAAAGAAAUUACUUGCUGAA